CUGCAAUAUAUUUUCGAACAAUACCUACACCUUUUACGCCCAUUCUUUUACGUUUUCAAACCAGAACUGUGCGGAGAGUGCAAUAUGUUUACGAGUGCGUGUGUGUGGUUGCCGGGCCCGAAAGAAAAGGAGAAAUAGACAGAAGAAAACAAGGAAAGGCAACGCGGAAUGGAAAAAUAACACUGUUCGACAAAAUCAAACAUUUUUUUUCAGCUUCGAAGCAAACCAACUUGUUAGAAGAAUUUUUAAAUGGGUGUUCUUUUGUAACGGUAGCUCUUUAUUUUAGAGGUGGCGCUUCUAUUUUUAUCAUAACUGAAUCGAAGCGGAAAAAUCUUGUCGAGUAGUGUAAUUAUUAGUACUCAUUAAAUGGCUGCCAAAGUCAUAAGCGCAUUGCCCCUUUUGGUAAAUAUACAUACAUCUCAUGUAUGUACUGAACUACCUACACCUUUUACGCCCAUUCUUUUACGUUUUCAAACCAGAACUGUGCGGAGAGUGCAAUAUGUUUACGAGUGCGUGUGUGUGGUUGCCGGGCCCGAAAGAAAAGGAGAAAUAGACAGAAGAAAACAAGGAAAGGCAACGCGGAAUGGAAAAAUAACACUGUUCGACAAAAUCAAACAUUUUUUUUCAG
RNAcentral lists this long non-coding RNA (628 nucleotides) under Drosophila guanche. Lineage: Eukaryota; Metazoa; Arthropoda; Insecta; Diptera; Drosophilidae. The record is from RNAcentral.